AUAAAUUUUUAUUGCUUCGGGGGGCAAUAACUUCUCAAAUUCUCUUCCAAGUUUGAAUCAAAAUGAAGCAUAAAGAGAAGUUUAAAAUAAUGGUGUUGAUCAUGAAAUAAAAUGGAGGGUUCGGAAUUGGAAUUAGUUGCAUCUGUUGAACCUUGGGAAAAACUCGAGAAAGUUUUAAACAAAAUAUAUAAUCAAUCAUAUUCUACAUAAACUUGCAUAUAGAUAUGUCUCUCCAGAUUCUUUUGUAGAACUACUUAAAUAUUAUGAUUUUGCUAACUUCAAAAUACAUCUUAUCUUAUCUUUUACACAUGUAAUACACAAUCAUAUUCCCCUUCUAAAAAAAAUCUAGUGCUUACAAUUUAUAGCUUUCAACAAAAGUAAAGAAAUGAAUAACUAACUACCACACGUUUACUUUAGGCAAUGAAGUCCAAGCACAAUAAGCACAAACUAGCUUCUGAGAUAUAUACACAUAAACAGAAAAAGAAAUACUCAUUAGAAACAAAUCUUUCCAAUCACCCUUUUGUUGUUGUGGACUUAAAUUCUUCAUCUUCUGUAGCCUCUUCCCAAUUACCUUCUCAAAAUCAUUCAAAAUUACUUUCCGUUUCCAUAAUGGUUGCUUCCCUUUUCCUCCACUUCCUAUGUCUUUCUUUUCUUCAUGAUUGGAAUUAAAGAUGGAUGGUCUUUUACCUUGGCAAGACAAUGGAACAAAAGGGGUCCCUAGUUUACACCAACAAGGUCCAAUAAUGAGAGAUGCCAUAGAAGGAUGUUUUUGUUUAAUGGAGUAGGAGUUGUAUUAUUAAUUUGAAGUCAACAUUUUGGUGCUCUUAUUUUUCAUUACUAAGCUAAAUUAUUGCACCUUAGAUAUUUUGUUCACAUGGAUUAGUUGAUGGAUAAGGGGUCUUUUAUUGACCCUAAACAUUGUGUGGAGGAGACACGAUAUAAUGGGAGAAAAUAAAAUAUAAAUGUUUUCUUUUCAAUAAUAAAAUAUUAUGUUGAAUGUUGAGAUGUCAACUUCAAGAUUAAUCUCAUAGUGUAUCUAAAUGAUUAAGCUUAUGAUUUGCAAACUACCUAAACUUAU
RNAcentral lists this long non-coding RNA (1078 nucleotides) under Lathyrus oleraceus (garden pea). RNAcentral's name for it is "Pisum sativum (pea) long non-coding RNA (PSAT_LNC037065)". Lineage: Eukaryota; Viridiplantae; Streptophyta; Magnoliopsida; Fabales; Fabaceae. The record is from RNAcentral.